GACUGGGUUGGGCUGGAAAGUUUCCUUGAAGGAAGGGGAAAGGGAUUUGGCCAGCAGGGAACGGCGAAACUGGAGGAGGAGCCACCCUCCGUCCUGGUUUUGCUUUGGACUAGCGGAUGCUCAGAGUGGUUUCGGGCUGGCGAGGGCUGCGGCUCCUCUCCAGGAUGUGUUUCACCGUCUGCCGGAGGCUGCCAAGCUGCAGUACCGGCAUCGCCGGCGGACACUUCUCCCGGCUGGCCCAGCUCUGCUGUGCUGUGGAUCGGCGCGGGAUGGGGACCGCCGAGCUGCCGGGAAGGAGGCUUUAACCUGAGCUCACGCCGCUGGAAUUCCCCGCUGCGCCUGGGAGAGGCUCCUCGCCUCCAAUCGCUUCCAGAUGCUGUUCCUGUUUCAACUCUUCCCCUCGCAAAAUGUCUCCCCCAGCUCGCCGGCAGCCUCGCCGAAGUUUUCCCGGCCGG
Molecule: long non-coding RNA, 455 nt
Filed under: Buteo japonicus
Lineage: Eukaryota; Metazoa; Chordata; Aves; Accipitriformes; Accipitridae
Description: lncRNA (ENSBJAG00000006308.1)
Source: RNAcentral